Molecule: ribosomal RNA, 305 nt
Filed under: uncultured Methanobrevibacter sp.
Lineage: Archaea; Methanobacteriati; Methanobacteriota; Methanobacteria; Methanobacteriales; Methanobacteriaceae
Description: bacterial SSU rRNA
Rfam family: Archaeal small subunit ribosomal RNA
Source: RNAcentral
AACCUCCGCAAUGUGAGCAAUCGCGACGGGGGGACCCCAAGUGCCAUUCUUAACGGGAUGGCUUUUCUUGAGUGUAAAAAGCUCUUGGAAUAAGAGCUGGGCAAGACCGGUGCCAGCCGCCGCGGUAACACCGGCAGCUCUAGUGGUAGCCAUUUUUAUUGGGCCUAAAGCGUUCGUAGCCGGUUUAAUAAGUCUCUGGUGAAAUCCUACARCUYAACUGUGGGAAUUGCUGGAGAUACUAUUAGACUUGAGGUCGGGAGAGGUUAGAGGUACUCCCAGGGUAGGGGUGAAAUCCUGUAAUCCAA